AUCAAAACCCCAUCAAAACGACACCGUUCAAAUGCUCCGUUCCUUCGCUUCCAAACGCUCUCUUCAAUCCCUUCUCCACCACCACUACCGCCGCUGCCGUCAGAAUCCUCAAUUCCCAAUCUUCAAUCCCCGUCCCUUUUCUUCAUCGCCGGGACCGCCGUCUUCCGACGCCGAGCUCCGGAAAUACAUCGGAUACACACUUCUCCUCUUAGGUUCUGCUGCCGCCACGUAUUAUUCCUUUCCAUUCUCGGAAGACGCGAGAGACAAAAAAGCUCAGCUAUUUCGGUAUGCUCCGUUGCCGGAUGAUCUUCAUACUGUGUCUAAUUGGAGUGGGACUCAUGAGGUUCGGACUCGCACUUUCUUGCAACCCGAGUCAGUGGAGGAGCUUGAAGGGAUAGUGAAAGAAGCGAAUGUGAGGAAGCAUAAGAUCCGGCCGGUUGGGUCGGGUUUGUCGCCGAAUGGGAUUGGGUUAACACGAGCUGGGAUGGUGAAUUUGGCGUUAAUGGAUAAGGUUUUGAGUGUGGAUAAGGAGAAUAAAAGGGUUACUGUUCAAGCUGGGAUUCGAGUUCAGCAGCUUGUGGAUGAGAUUAAGGAGUUUGGGAUUACUCUUCAGAACUUUGCUUCCAUAAGAG
Molecule: unclassified non-coding RNA, 632 nt
Filed under: Hevea brasiliensis (rubber tree)
Lineage: Eukaryota; Viridiplantae; Streptophyta; Magnoliopsida; Malpighiales; Euphorbiaceae
Source: RNAcentral